RNAcentral lists this long non-coding RNA (1367 nucleotides) under Gallus gallus (chicken). RNAcentral's name for it is "long non-coding RNA NONGGAT009313". The record is from RNAcentral. Lineage: Eukaryota; Metazoa; Chordata; Aves; Galliformes; Phasianidae.
UAUCACUACAGUUGUGUACUGCACUGGGUUACUGUAUUACACAGCAGUUCUGAAACAGCAAGAGGGCUUCUGCUGUGAUCCCACGUUGCUGUUUGAUAGCUGCAAACCUCACUGAAGAGUCUGUGAAAUUUCCAGCUGCUCAUCUCACUGCAUCCUGGUUAGCUCAAGCAAGGGCUGGCCAUGUAACAUGAGCAAACUCUGCAUUGGAUCUCCAGUGACCUGGUUUAAAAACAAACAUUGAAAACAAAACAAACACUUUUCAGAGCGGGCUUCUCAUAGCUGCUGUAGAUCUCAGUGUGUGCUCUGUGUCCUGCACAAUUCAUUUUAGGGAACUUCAGGCAGAGCUGUGGGUCUGGGUGGGGAUCUCUGAUAUUUCCAUCACUGCAGGGUGUUUUCCAGUUCCUUCUCUAUGAUCACGACCCAAUUAUACAAAUACAGUCAGCUUUUAAUGUACAAAAACCACUCCUACUUGCACGUUUACUCAACUAAAUUGUAAAUAUCCAUACUUUCAUAGUUAUAACACUGACAAGGAUUUCACCAACUGUCCUUCCCUCCGAAAUCCUUUUCCAGAUUGCAGGGCAGAAAAGAUUUCUGUUCCCAGUCCACUUGGCAUGCAAGUCAAAAUAGCCCGGGCCUCUUCUGCCAGUGGCUGAAGUGAAGACGCCCAACACUGUGCUGAGGGAUGACAAGCCACAGCCCAGGAGCUCAGCUGUGCCACUGAUGACUGCCCUCAAACAGGUGGGAGCAGCCGAGAUCCAGACAUUUCUUGCUGCUCACAGAGGGAAUGAGUUCCCACACCUGGUGCUUCUCAGAUCUCGCUCAGCAGGACACAGACAGGGCUGCUUCCCUGCCCUGCAGUGACACACGGAGGGCAGGAUCUGGAAGCAGUGCUGAUGCACAGCAUCCUACUAGUACAUUCUGUCUUUUGCUUGGCAGCCAAACGUGGGACUUCCUUCUGAUGCCAUGUUGCCUUUCACUUACAUCGGAUUGUGAGGGGUUGUUUCAUCGGCAACAAAAGAGUGAAAUGGAAUAAGGAAUAAACAAGAAGCAAGACAAAGCUGUCACUGCAUUUGUUACCAGCUGAAAGAAAAAGAGGCAAAAACCUCCUGCAGCAGAGACUUGAUAAUCACUUUCCCAAACGAUACUGUUAUUGUAAUUGCCAAACUCUUUGUAAAGCAGCAUAUAGCUACAGUCAUUGCAGCGCUGGAAUUGUCCACGAGGACGAACAUGUAGCAUAGAAAAGAAAUAAGGAUGGUACCAUCAGUGAAAAUCUUCAUUAUCGGGAGAGGGUGGAGAAGCUGAGAUCAUCUUCAAAGAGAAAGGAAAGUGCUUCAGGGGCAUUUCUACAUAUUUUCAGGUCAGCGAAA